Acinonyx jubatus (cheetah) is the source of this 558-nucleotide long non-coding RNA. RefSeq lists it as uncharacterized. The record is from RefSeq and is a predicted model, not a curated record. Lineage: Eukaryota; Metazoa; Chordata; Mammalia; Carnivora; Felidae. The transcript is spliced from 2 exons.
GCGGGUCCGGGUCCGGGUGGGGGGACGGACGGUGUUUGUAUCUGGAGAGAGGCAGAGGCAGGUUCCUCCGAGGGGUCAGGGCAGGGGGAGGGGGAGCGUAUGUGUGCGCAUCCCAGCCGAGUACCUACCCGCUCUGCCCUCCAGAGCCGUGCACAGGAAGCAGGGUGGGGAGGAGAGCCGUCCAUCAGCGGCGUCUGAUCUGUGGGCGUCUGGCUGGAGACCAGCGUCCUCCCCGCUGGAGGAUUACUCUGUGUCGGGCCCGUGGACCUAACGUUCUAACACGUGGUGAAAUGAUCCCAUGGUGGGAGAUUUAAGACCACCUUUCGGAGCCCGAGGAGCAACAGGCUGGGAGAGAAGUCACUCGUCCAGCUCCUACUUAGGGAGCACCUGUCACACAUCAUGAGCUGUAUCAGGCGCAGGGGCUGCAAACAAGACAUGGUCCCCGCCCGCAGAGGGUCUACUGUCUUCUAGUGAAAACGGACCCGGACGCUGAGUGAAGGGAUAGUCUUACAGAUGAACCCUCACCAACCUGGAGCCAUAGCUCACAAACAAGAGUUG